Long non-coding RNA from Hyla sarda, 625 nucleotides. RefSeq lists it as uncharacterized. NCBI's taxonomy places the organism in Eukaryota, Metazoa, Chordata, Amphibia, Anura, Hylidae. The record is from RefSeq and is a predicted model, not a curated record. The transcript has 3 exons.
GGACACUUACAUGUUUCCUUAUACAGUUUACAGUUACAUAGGACUAUUCCAUGAAUAGGAAGAUUCCAUGUCCUGAGCAUACACCAUGUUUAUUUAUAUGCAUGGCUCCUAUGCAGACCUCUGUGUCUCCACGGUAACAGACUACAAACAAAUUUAGUGUAGUACCAAGGCCCAGUAAAAACAGUACCUCUAAAGCCAGGGAUUACAGAAAACAACUUGUUAUUCACUUUUGAUACAGAUGCAAUACAGCUGAUAGGUGGCAGGGAGAGUGGGAGCUGAGCCAGCAAAGUUCCACUUGGCAGUAGGCACUGAAAAUCCAAUGCCAAGAGCAAAGGGUGCUAGGCCAUCAGAAAGGAGACAAUGGAACAGCUGUGAACGAAGACUUGAACUGAAAACGGCUUCUUUUCCUAUUCAAUUACUUAGCCAGACUCCAGCUCGACGGUCUACCAAUACCAAUGCAUUCUGUAAGGCUUCUUCAUGGUGAAUUAAGAUAAGUCACUUCUUGAAGCACUGCGAAAAAUGUACAGUACCUGUGCUUCAGUGCUUGUACCAUAAUAAGCCUCUCAGGACCACACAAAGUACCAUCAGGAACAACUAUAGUGGAAUGCAUAAAUGCUUUAGGGUU